GAAAUGCGAUAAGUAAUGUGAAUUGCAGAAUUCAGUGAAUCAUCGAAUCUUUGAACGCACCUUGCGCUCCUUGGUAUUCCUUGGAGCAUGCCUGUUUGAGUAUCAUGAAAUCUUCAAAGUAAAUCUUUUGUUAACUCAAUUGGUUUCUACUUUGGUAUUGGAGGUCUUUGCAGCUUCACACCUGCUCCUCUUUGUUCAUUAGCUGGAUCUCAGUGUUAUGCUUGGUUCCACUCGGCGUGAUAAGUUAUCUAUCGCUGAGGACACUGUAAAAGGUGGCCAAGGUAAAUUCAGAUGAACCGCUUCUAAUAGUCCAUUGACUUGGACAAUACUUUUAUGAUCUGAACUCAAAUCAGGUAGGACUACCCGCUGAACUUAAGC
Molecule: unclassified non-coding RNA, 378 nt
Filed under: plant metagenome
Description: partial contains 5.8S ribosomal RNA, internal transcribed spacer 2, and large subunit ribosomal RNA
Rfam family: 5.8S ribosomal RNA (bases 1-105)
Source: RNAcentral